AUGCUUAGGAAGAUGUUCCAAGGUGGUUCUUCUAAGAAGCAAGGACCCAGGAUUGUUAUGCGCGAUGCUGACGAGGAUCCACCAAGAGACGCUCCAGUACGGCCUUGCGAAUGGCCGUCGGAAAAUUUUAUGGACCGUGCGGGAAUUAACGAAGAAUUCAAAGUAUAUUUGCGCAAUGCUGGUCUUGAGGAUUUUGAGGCUAACAAAUGCCCCCAGUAUCAUGAUCUCACAAGUUCAUUUGUGAGAAGGUUUGAGUAUUCAUCUUCGCAUAAUUCUCCUUCAAUCAUGUUUGAUCUCUAUGACAAAUUUUAUACCAUGGACUUAGAGGAUUUCACUUCUGCUUGCAAACUUCCAUCAUGGGGUAGUGUUAGGGAUCCCCUAAAUCUGAAUUUAGAAACUUUCUUGCUAGUAUAA
RNAcentral lists this ribosomal RNA (414 nucleotides) under Triticum aestivum (bread wheat). Its description in RNAcentral is "partial small subunit ribosomal RNA". Lineage: Eukaryota; Viridiplantae; Streptophyta; Magnoliopsida; Poales; Poaceae. The record is from RNAcentral.